GUCUGGAUAGCUCAGUGGUUAGAGCGUAGGGUUGAAAACUCUUGAGUCAUGGGUUCAAAUCCCAUUCUGGACA
RNAcentral lists this transfer RNA (73 nucleotides) under Phyllymenia californica. RNAcentral's name for it is "Grateloupia californica tRNA-Phe". It matches the Rfam family "tRNA". Rfam says of the family: Transfer RNA (tRNA) molecules are approximately 80 nucleotides in length. Their secondary structure includes four short double-helical elements and three loops (D, anti-codon, and T loops). The record is from RNAcentral. Lineage: Eukaryota; Rhodophyta; Florideophyceae; Halymeniales; Halymeniaceae. RNAcentral also lists the same sequence under 1 other name.